UGCCGACGUGCAGACAGCUGGGGAAACUUAACAGACACGUCUACAAACUCCUCGUGCUGAAAUUCCGUCCUCGGGCAAUGCUGUUACGAUCCUGACACUUGAUCCUAUAGAUUCUGGCCACAGGUUCGUUUAUAAUCUUGGACAGCCAAGACACCCAAAGCUCACCCUCUUUCUGAACACACGGAGAACACUCUCUGCCAUGAACCUGAAAGCUUAAUCUGGGAGCCAGCAGACCAAACCACGCUGUUGCCAGGCAACACCCCAGUUUUGGUUAAACCUGUACGACGGAGAUCAGCACCGGGAGAAAACAUACGUGAACAAAAGGAAUAAAAGGACUCUAGUUUUUGUACUUAUUUAUUCAUUCAUUUGGCCACGUUGCAUCCCGUCGCAGCAGGCAGGAUCUUUCACUGCUAAGUGUGACUUCUCUAGGUGCGGUGCCCGGACUCGGUGGUUGCAGUGAGUGGGUUCUCUGCAGUGGCUCAUGGGCUCCGGAGGGC
Long non-coding RNA from Bos taurus (domestic cattle), 497 nucleotides. The record is from Ensembl. Lineage: Eukaryota; Metazoa; Chordata; Mammalia; Artiodactyla; Bovidae.